CAGCCGCCACGGUAAUACGAAGGGGGCUAGCGUUGUUCGGAAUUACUGGGCGUAAAGCGCACGUAGGCGGAUAUUUAAGUCAGGGGUGAAAUCCCAGAGCUCAACUCUGGAACUGCCUUUGAUACUGGGUAUCUUGAGUAUGGAAGAGGUGAGUGGAAUUCCGAGUGUAGAGGUGAAAUUCGUAGAUAUUCGGAGGAACACCAGUGGCGAAGGCGGCUCACUGGUCCAUUACUGACGCUGAGGUGCGAAAGCGUGGGGAGCAAACAGGAUUAGAUACCCCGGUAGUCCCUGUCUCUUAUAC
This 301-nucleotide ribosomal RNA is filed under the name uncultured bacterium. RNAcentral describes it as "partial 16S ribosomal RNA". It matches the Rfam family "Bacterial small subunit ribosomal RNA", at positions 509 to 807 of the family's 1533-position model. The record is from RNAcentral.